AGGCCCAACCCGUGACCAAUCCGAUUCAUCUUCAACCUCUAUCCUCUUCCUCUACAUGUGCGUCCGCAGAUUGGACCAGUGCUCGCCGCCUCUUCUCUGAUCUCUCUUGCCUCACCGAUGUGUCACCCUGCCGGAUGCCUGCCCUCACCGCCUGCGACCAUCACCGACGGCUGGUGAGGCACGAGCGCCGCCUUGCUGCGCCCGCCGCCGUAGCGGCAUCAUACAUCUAGGGCGACGACCGCUGACACCUCCCAGGCGCGUCCCCUUCCCUCGCCGAUCCAAAUUUUCCGGAGUAUGAAAAGAUUUGUUGAAGAUAGUGGGGGCCGGCACAGAAGAUACUCAGAUCGGAGGUGAAAUCAGCAAGAAAAAAGUCCAUGAGAAGUUCCUGAUGAAUCUGAAGACUACGGUGGCCUGAUUUCCUUCUGUGAUGCUAGCAUUUCUCUGGAUGUAUAUGGCUUUAGUAUCUGUAGUUCUGUUCCCAAACUUGAGCUUCUUGGUGUGCAUAACACCUCCGUGCUGUAAACUGAUUGAAAUGGUCUUUUGCUUUGCUUAAGGUGGGUGCUGAGUCCCUAGAAUUCUAAAAGAAUCUUGGAGCCAAGAUUGUUUACUUAUUGACAUCACUAUCUCGACAUUAAAUAUGAUGAAUUACAGUUUGAAUAUUA
Long non-coding RNA from Panicum virgatum (switchgrass), 662 nucleotides. RefSeq lists it as uncharacterized. The record is from RefSeq and is a predicted model, not a curated record. Lineage: Eukaryota; Viridiplantae; Streptophyta; Magnoliopsida; Poales; Poaceae. The transcript is spliced from 2 exons.